RNAcentral lists this ribosomal RNA (119 nucleotides) under Ricinus communis (castor bean). The record is from RNAcentral. Lineage: Eukaryota; Viridiplantae; Streptophyta; Magnoliopsida; Malpighiales; Euphorbiaceae.
GGGUGCGAUCAUACCAGCACUAAUGCACCGGAUCCCAUCAGAACUCCGAUGUUCAACAUGCUUGGGCGAGAGUAGUACUAAGAUGGGUGACCUCUUGGGAAGUCCUCGUGUUGCACCCC